Molecule: ribosomal RNA, 253 nt
Filed under: uncultured bacterium
Lineage: Bacteria
Description: partial 16S ribosomal RNA
Rfam family: Bacterial small subunit ribosomal RNA
Source: RNAcentral
UACGAAGGGGGCUAGCGUUGCUCGGAAUGACUGGGCGUAAAGGGCGCGUAGGCGGCUCAUACAGUCAGAUGUGAAAUUCCUGGGCUUAACCUGGGGGCUGCAUUUGAUACGUGUGGGCUUGAGUGGGGAAGAGGGUCGUGGAAUUCCCAGUGUAGAGGUGAAAUUCGUAGAUAUUGGGAAGAACACCAGUGGCGAAGGCGGCUCACUGGCCCGGUACUGACGCUGAGGCGCGAAAGCGUGGGGAGCAAACAGG